RNAcentral lists this ribosomal RNA (428 nucleotides) under uncultured prokaryote. Its description in RNAcentral is "bacterial SSU rRNA". It matches the Rfam family "Bacterial small subunit ribosomal RNA", at positions 355 to 774 of the family's 1533-position model. The record is from RNAcentral.
UGGGGAAUUUUGCGCAAUGGACGAAAGUCUGACGCAGCAACGCCGCGUGGAGGAAGAAGCUCCUUUGGAGUGUAAACUUCUGUUAAUUAGGAAGAAAAGAUAGUAGUUAAUACCUAUUAUUUAUGACGUUACUAGUAAAGAAAGCACCGGCUAAUCUCGUGCCAGCAGCCGCGGUAAUACGAGAGGUGCAAGCGUUAUUCGGAAUUAUUGGGCGUAAAGGGCGCGUAGGCGGCUUUAUAAGUUUCUUGUUUAAGACUUCGGCCUAACUGAAGAAAAGCAAGGAAUACUGUAUAGCUAGAGUAUAAUAGAGAGAAGUGGAAUUUUCGGAGUAGCGGUUAAAUGCGUAGAUCUCGAAAGGAACGCCAAUGGCGAAGGCAGCUUCUUGGGUUAUUACUGACGCUGAGGCGCGAAGGCAUGGGGAGCAAACA